This 274-nucleotide ribosomal RNA is filed under the name uncultured bacterium. RNAcentral describes it as "partial 16S ribosomal RNA". It matches the Rfam family "Bacterial small subunit ribosomal RNA", at positions 523 to 796 of the family's 1533-position model. The record is from RNAcentral.
AUACGGAGGGGGCUAGCGUUGUUCGGAAUUACUGGGCGUAAAGCGUGCGUAGGCGGACUAAUAAGUAAGAUGUGAAAUCCCAGGGCUCAACCCUGGAACUGCAUUUUAAACUGUUAGUCUAGAGUUAUGGAGAGGUAAGUGGAAUUCCUAGUGUAGAGGUGAAAUUCGUAGAUAUUAGGAGGAACACCAGAGGCGAAGGCGGCUUACUGGACAUAUACUGACGCUGAGGUACGAAAGUGUGGGGAGCAAACGGGAUUAGAAACCCUAGUAGUCC